This 116-nucleotide ribosomal RNA is filed under the name Pseudomonas aeruginosa. Lineage: Bacteria; Pseudomonadati; Pseudomonadota; Gammaproteobacteria; Pseudomonadales; Pseudomonadaceae. The record is from RNAcentral.
CCUGGCGGCACUAGCGCGGUGGUCCCACCUGACCCCAUGCCGAACUCAGAAGUGAAACGCCGUAGCGCCGAUGGUAGUGUGGGGUCUCCCCAUGUGACAGUAGGUCGUCGGCAAGC